Molecule: non-coding RNA, 1197 nt
Organism: Candidatus Staskawiczbacteria bacterium
Lineage: Bacteria; Candidatus Staskawicziibacteriota
Source: Rfam
GAAGGAUAGGUUAUAAGCGAAUGGCGGAUGCCUUGGGAUAUUAAAGUGAUGAAGGACGUGGCGUGCCUGCGAUAAGCGUCGGGGAGCUGGCUAGCAAGCUUUGAUCCGGCGAUGUCCGAAUGAGGAAACUCUAUUGCGGUAAUACGCAAUAAUCUUGGCAGUAAUGCCAAGAAGCUAACCCGCUGAAGUGAAACAUCUCAGUAAGCGGAGGAAAAGAAAACAACGCGCCAUCCUACAGGAUGGCGAACAAUUGACAAUUGACAGGUGACAAUUGACCAACGAUGAAAAAUUUUUGUGAAACAAAAAUUUUUCAUUAAGUCAAAUGUUAAAUGUUAAAGGUUACAUGUUCGCCACCCCGUAGGGUGGCGCACAUUCCCUUAGUAGUGGCGAGCGAAGAGGGAAGAGUCUAAACAGAAUCUUUAAAAAGAUUCUGGGUUGUAAGGGUUUAACGUCGGGGGCAUUAUUUAUUUUUCGUAUAGUCGAAAAAUAAAUAGUGACUGCCGAGGGAGAGCAUCUAGGUGAUUUAUUAAAAGAAGCACCCUGGAAAGGGGCGCCAUAGAGGGUAAUAGCCCCGUAUUCUAAAAUAAUUUCACGCUCCUUGUUAGAUUUCUUGAGUACUGUCGGGCAUGAUAACCUGGCAGGAAGCAGGCCGAACUAUCGGCCAAGACUAAAUAUUUAAUAUCACCAAUAGUGAACCAGUACCGUGAGGGAAAGGUGAAAAGUAGGGGGUUGACCCCGGUGAAAUAGAACCUGAAACCAUUUGCUUACAAAGAGUCGGAGCCAUGCGCAUCAUACUGGGUAUGAUGCGACAAUUGACAAUUAACCAUUGACAAUUGACCAACGCGCGAUUUUUGCAGAGCAAAAAUCGCGAAAGUCAAAUGUUAAAUGUCACAUGUCAAAUGUCGCGCAUCAUGCAUAGUAUGAUGCGCGUGGUGACGGCGUGCUUUUUGCAGAACGAGCCAACGAGUUUGUCUCUCCAACUUGUCUAAGCCCUUACGGGGUGUAGGCGUAGCGAAAGCGAGUGUUAAUAGCGCGUUUGUUGGAGGUACAAGACCCGAAGCGUGACGAGCUUACCAUGAGCAGGAUGAAGGGUGCAGAAAUGCGCCUGGAGGUCCGAACCCGUGAGUCGUGCAAUCCUCUGGGAUGACUUGUGGUAAGGAGUGAAAAGCUAAUCGAGUUACGUAAUAGCUGGUUCUU